UUUUUUUUUUAAUUUAUUAUUUUUUUCUUACGAUAUUAUAUAAUUACAAAUAACAAUAUAGAAAAAAUAGAAUAUAUGUUUUAAAAUUUGGGACAGGAACUUUAUCAUUUUAAUUUAUUAUGUAAUUAAGAAAUAUAUAAUGUACAAACAACAAGUAAAAACAAACAUGGAAUAUGUAUUUGCAUGUCUUAAUUAAUCAACAUGAUUAACAUGUAACUUUAAAAACAGGCAAGCUUUUAAAUACGCAUUUACCCCUUAUGUACAAUCGUUUUUUUAUGGAACAGACGAUAUUUUAUGUUACCAUAACAACUAAACUUUGCAAUACUAAUAACACCUGGCGACAGCAAUAUGAUACAGAUACAAAAUAAAACAUAGUAAUUAAGAGACCUACAACCAUAUUCUUAUAGUUAUCUGACUGACGUCAAAGGUAUUUGUAUUGCUUAUCAGGUAAUUAUUAUUUCACGUGCUUCAAGUGGAUUUUUUUAAAGAAAGAAGUAUAGAUAAAUAUAAAAAUGUAUAUCACCCUAUUUUCUUUGAAUACCUUUGACAUUUCAAUAAAUUGGAACAAGUUUUUUAAAGAUCUAUUAUUGGUUUUACAAUUUAAAAAAUAAAAUAAAUAUAUUUCUAAUAUAUGUCAUUUCAAUAAUGUAAAAGCCUGUCAAAUUUCAAUUUAAUUGUUAUUUUGAAAAGAUACUUUUUCAAUGUAUCAACCCACUUAUUCAUUUCGUUUUUUAAACAAAUUGAGCCCCUCAUGGGGGGUCCUAGUAAUCACAUAAUCACCAUUUUUUUGCCAAUAUAAUCACAUAAUCAUUAAA
This 815-nucleotide long non-coding RNA is filed under the name Mytilus galloprovincialis (Mediterranean mussel). Lineage: Eukaryota; Metazoa; Mollusca; Bivalvia; Mytilida; Mytilidae. The record is from RNAcentral.